GCCCGAGUGGCGGAAUAGGUAGACGCACAGGACUUAAAAUCCUGCGAGUAUAAAAACUCGUGCCGGUUCAAGUCCGGCCUCGGGCACCA
RNAcentral lists this transfer RNA (89 nucleotides) under Clostridium sp. RNAcentral's name for it is "tRNA-Leu". It matches the Rfam family "tRNA". Rfam says of the family: Transfer RNA (tRNA) molecules are approximately 80 nucleotides in length. Their secondary structure includes four short double-helical elements and three loops (D, anti-codon, and T loops). Further hydrogen bonds mediate the characteristic L-shaped molecular structure. tRNAs have two regions of fundamental functional importance: the anti-codon, which is responsible for specific mRNA codon recognition, and the 3' end, to which the tRNAs corresponding amino acid is attached (by aminoacyl-tRNA synthetases). tRNAs cope with the degeneracy of the genetic code in two manners: having more than one tRNA (with a specific anti-codon) for a particular amino acid; and 'wobble' base-pairing, i.e. permitting non-standard base-pairing at the 3rd anti-codon position. The record is from RNAcentral. RNAcentral also lists the same sequence under 3 other names. Lineage: Bacteria; Bacillati; Bacillota; Clostridia; Eubacteriales; Clostridiaceae.